Plutella xylostella (diamondback moth) is the source of this 456-nucleotide long non-coding RNA. RefSeq lists it as uncharacterized. NCBI's taxonomy places the organism in Eukaryota, Metazoa, Arthropoda, Insecta, Lepidoptera, Plutellidae. The record is from RefSeq and is a predicted model, not a curated record.
CGUGAAAUAGAGCUUGAAACAAGUUCCUCAGAAAUUGAGAUUGAGGUGGAGUAAGUACGGAACUUACGAAAUAUUAAGAGAAAGGUGUACUUUCAGAGAACUGAUAGAUUCGCAACUUGGGAUGAGAACUCGUUCUUGGAUAGGUUCCAGGUCUCAAAAAUGUGGCUCGUGUGUUGGCUUUAAAACUAGAACCUUUCUUACUGCCUCCAACGACGAAAAAUUUUGCAAUCACUCAAAUACAGCAAUUUAUCAAUGAAAAUAAGGACAGAACUAAGAAGAGUGCAGCCCAUUAUAGUGGCUACGCCAUAGCUGCAUAAUACAUAUAUUAUGUAACAAAAUGAGAGACCCUGUACCACCAGCUAGGUUUUUUUUAUGAUGAUUCAUCAUCUGAUGAAGAGGAACCUGUCUAUGCAGUUAACAGGAAUGUUAAUAAAAAUAAAAUAUUUCAAUAGAUUA